This 1481-nucleotide ribosomal RNA is filed under the name uncultured bacterium. Its description in RNAcentral is "partial 16S ribosomal RNA". It matches the Rfam family "Bacterial small subunit ribosomal RNA". The record is from RNAcentral.
AGAGUUGAUCAUGGCUCAGAUUGAACGCUGGCGGCAUGCUUUACACAUGCAAGUCGAACGGUAACAGGCCGCAAGGUGCUGACGAGUGGCGAACGGGUGAGUAAUGCAUCGGAACGUGCCCAGUCGUGGGGGAUAACUACUCGAAAGAGUAGCUAAUACCGCAUACGCCCUGAGGGGGAAAGUGGGGGACCGCAAGGCCUCACGUUAUUCGAGCGGCCGACGUCUGAUUAGCUAGUUGGUGGGGUAAAGGCCUACCAAGGCGACGAUCAGUAGCGGGUCUGAGAGGAUGAUCCGCCACACUGGGACUGAGACACGGCCCAGACUCCUACGGGAGGCAGCAGUGGGGAAUUUUGGACAAUGGGGGCAACCCUGAUCCAGCCAUUCCGCGUGAGUGAAGAAGGCCUUCGGGUUGUAAAGCUCUUUCGGCAGGAACGAAACGGUUGCGGUUAAUACCCGCGGCUACUGACGGUACCUGCAGAAGAAGCACCGGCUAACUACGUGCCAGCAGCCGCGGUAAGACGGAGGGGGCAAGCGUUGUCCGGAAUCACUGGGCGUAAAGCGCACGUAGCGGCGCGGUGCGUCGGUGCUGAAAGCUCCCGGCUUAACCGGGAGAGGUGUGCCGAUACGACCGGGCUGGAGGCAGGCAGAGGGUGGCGGAAUUCCGGGUGUAGUGGUGAAAUGCGUAGAGAUCCGGAGGAACGCCUGUGGCGCAAGCGGCCACCUGGGCCUGACCUGACGCUGAGGUGCGAAAGCGUGGGGAGCGAACCGGAUUAGAUACCCGGGUAGUCCCGCCGUAAACGAUGCCGGCUCGGUGCCUGGGCGCCGUUCAGGUCCCUGGGUGCCUCAGCUCACGCGGUAAGCCGGCCGCCUGGGGAGUACGAGCGCAAGCUUAAAACUCAAAGGAAUUGACGGGGCCCGCACAGCAGCGGAGCGUGUGGUUUAAUUCGACGCAACGCGAAGCACCUUACCCAGGCUUGACAUGGAUCUGCACCCCGGUGAAAGCCGGCGCCUUCGAGGGUGAUCCACAGGUGCUGCAUGGCUGUCGUCAGCUCGUGUCGUGAGAUGUUGGGUUAAGUCCCGCAACGAGCGCAACCCUCGCCGACAGUUACACGUGUCUGUCGGGACUGCCGGCUUUCGGCCGGAGGAAGGCGGGGAUGACGUCAAGUCCGCAUGGCCCUUACGCCUGGGGCGACACACACGCUACAAUGGGACGGACAGCGCGCCGCGACCCCGCAAGGGGGAGCAAAUCGUCAAACCGUCCCCCAGUUCAGAUCGGGGGCUGCAACUCGCCCCCGUGAAGGUGGAGUUGCUAGUAACCGCGUAUCAGCCAUGGCGCGGUGAAUGCGUUCCCGGGCCUUGUACACACCGCCCGUCACGUCAUGGGAGUGGCCAAUGCUUGAAGUCCGUGCGCUAACCACUUGUGGAGGCAGCGGCCGAGGGCAGGGGUCGCGACUGGGACGAAGUCGUAACAAGGUAACGUA